GAUGAACGCUGGCGGCGUGCCUAAUACAUGCCAGUAGAACGCUGAAGGAGGAGCUUGCUCUUCUGGAUGAGUUGCGAACGGGUGAGUAACGCGUAGGUAACCUGCCUGGUAGCGGGGGAUAACUAUUGGAAACGAUAGCUAAUACCGCAUGACAACAGUUAUUGCAUGAUAACUGUUUAAAAGGGGCAACUGCUCCACUACCAGAUGGACCUGCGUUGUAUUAGCUAGUUGGUGAGGUAACGGCUCACCAAGGCGACGAUACAUAGCCGACCUGAGAGGGUGAUGGGCCACACGGGGACGGGGAAACGGCCCAGACCCCUACGGGAGGCAGCAGUAGGGAAUUUUCGGAAAGGGACGGAAGUUUGACCGAGAAACGCCGGGGGGGGGAAGAAGGUUUUGGGAUCGGAAAGCCCGGUUGUAAGGGAAGAAGGGGGGGGGGGGGGGAAAGUUCAAACGGGGAGGGUAUUUUACAAAAAAGGGAGGGUAAACUACGG
Molecule: ribosomal RNA, 494 nt
Filed under: uncultured bacterium
Lineage: Bacteria
Description: partial 16S ribosomal RNA
Rfam family: Bacterial small subunit ribosomal RNA
Source: RNAcentral